RNAcentral lists this ribosomal RNA (253 nucleotides) under uncultured bacterium. RNAcentral describes it as "partial 16S ribosomal RNA". It matches the Rfam family "Bacterial small subunit ribosomal RNA", at positions 524 to 776 of the family's 1533-position model. The record is from RNAcentral.
CACGUAGGGUGCGAGCGUUGUCCGGAAUUAUUGGGCGUAAAGGGCUCGUAGGCGGUCUGUCACGUCGGGAGUGAAAACUCGGGGCUUAACCCCGAGCCUGCUUCCGAUACGGGCAGACUAGAGGUAUGCAGGGGAGAACGGAAUUCCUGGUGUAGCGGUGAAAUGCGCAGAUAUCAGGAGGAACACCGGUGGCGAAGGCGGUUCUCUGGGCAUUACCUGACGCUGAGGAGCGAAAGUGUGGGGAGCGAACAGG